GUCGGCCUGCGCGGAAGAUGUAACGGGGCUAAACCAUGCACCGAAGCUGCGGCAGCGACACUGUGUGUUGUUGGGUAGGGGAGCGUUCUGUAAGCCUGUGAAGGUGUGUCGUGAGGCAUGCUGGAGGUAUCAGAAGUGCGAAUGCUGACAUAAGUAACGAUAAAGCGGGUGAAAAGCCCGCUCGCCGGAAGACCAAGGGUUCCUGUCCAACGUUAAUCGGGGCA
RNAcentral lists this ribosomal RNA (224 nucleotides) under Salmonella enterica subsp. enterica serovar Enteritidis. Its description in RNAcentral is "partial 23S ribosomal RNA". It matches the Rfam family "Bacterial large subunit ribosomal RNA", at positions 1153 to 1376 of the family's 2925-position model. The record is from RNAcentral. Lineage: Bacteria; Pseudomonadati; Pseudomonadota; Gammaproteobacteria; Enterobacterales; Enterobacteriaceae.